CUAUGUUUAGCCUCUUUCCGCAGCUCCCCCCUGCCAGAGAUUAAUUAAAUUGUUUUUUUGGCGUCUCCAUACACUGUGUGAAGAAAUGGGAGGGUGGGUCUUGGCAUGAACUGUGUGUCCUGACCCUGCAACUCAUCUUCCCCCGGGGUCACGAGAUGAGUGCUUGGCACGGGUGAAGGAGCUGCCAGACAGGAACCCUCAUUUUCACUGGAGAUAAGCACCGUGGCUUGCUCUGCUGAGGUGUGCUGGCAUGUCUGCCCUGCUUUCUGGGAAGCCCAUCGUGAUUAAGGGAUAGAUACCUCCGCAAAAAAAAGAGUGGGGGGAGGAAGAGGAGGAUAAAGUCUGAACAGGAAUAGAAAAGUCUUUCACAACGACUCUUAUAUGCCAAAGAGUCUGAUUACAGGCCUGAGGGGUCCCUCACGAGUGCAUCCAUCACCCCCCUCUCACUGCAGAUAUAUCACCGGAGCAGG
This is a long non-coding RNA of Sardina pilchardus (European sardine), 470 nucleotides long. RefSeq lists it as uncharacterized. The transcript has 3 exons. Lineage: Eukaryota; Metazoa; Chordata; Actinopteri; Clupeiformes; Clupeidae. The record is from RefSeq and is a predicted model, not a curated record.